GAGUUUGAUCAUGGCUCAGAUUGAACGCUGGCGGCAUGCUUUACACAUGCAAGUCGAACGGUAACAGGGAGCUUGCUCCGCUGACGAGUGGCGAACGGGUGAGUAAUGCGUCGGAACGUGCCGAGUAGUGGGGGAUAACGCAUCGAAAGGUGUGCUAAUACCGCAUACGAACUGAGGUUGAAAGUGGGGGACCUUCGGGCCUCACGCUAUUCGAGCGGCCGACGUCUGAUUAGCUAGUAGGUGAGGUAAAGGCUCACCUAGGCGACGAUCAGUAGCGGGUCUGAGAGGAUGAUCCGCCACACUGGGACUGAGACACGGCCCAGACUCCUACGGGAGGCAGCAGUGGGGAAUUUUGGACAAUGGGCGCAAGCCUGAUCCAGCCAUGCCGCGUGUCUGAAGAAGGCCUUCGGGUUGUAAAGGACUUUUGUCUGGGAGCAAAUACCCGGUGUUAAUAGCGCCGGGGGCUGAGAGUACCAGAAGAAUAAGCACCGGCUAACUACGUGCCAGC
Molecule: ribosomal RNA, 508 nt
Filed under: uncultured bacterium
Lineage: Bacteria
Description: bacterial SSU rRNA
Rfam family: Bacterial small subunit ribosomal RNA
Source: RNAcentral